Molecule: long non-coding RNA, 4566 nt
Organism: Solanum dulcamara
Lineage: Eukaryota; Viridiplantae; Streptophyta; Magnoliopsida; Solanales; Solanaceae
Exons: 2
Source: RefSeq, a predicted model, not a curated record
UCUUACAUUUAUUUUGUUUUUUGUUAGUGUUAUACUUAGAUUUUGUAGGGUUUAUGUUAAAUAUAGAUUUAGAUCUUUGUGUGAAAUGUAACUUUAUACUCAUUUGUUAGGGUUUAUGUUCUGGUGUUAAAUAUAGAUUUCGAUCUUCGUAAUAUUACUCGAUCUUUGGAAUGUUACUCGAUCUUUGAGUUAGGGUUUCUUUAUUGUUUGUUAUUCAGUCGUGUAUGUGUGGGUUCACCUUUUAAAAUGUAAAAAAGACAAGAAGACAAAGAUGAAUCGGGUAUUGUGUCUGUCUGGGAUUAAAGUAAAAUAACCUAAUUUAACAAGGCAAAUAUGAGUUGGGUGUUGUGUAUGUGUAGGGUUACAGUAAAUGACCUAAUCCUAAAAAGAUUGAUGUUUCUGUGUCUGGUCUAUUUGUGUGGGGUUAUAGGUGUGUCUAAACUGUAUUUUUAGUUGUAAAGAUUAAUGUUUUUCACAUUUUGGCUUAAGAGCAUGACAUUAUACAUUAUAUUGUUUGUACAGGGUUAGGUCAAUUAAUAUAAUUCAAUGUCAUUGUUCCAGUUCAAGGUUAAGUUCCCGAUGGGAUGAUUGUUCCUAAACGUUUAAUUAGUUGAAUUCGAUUUCUUUACUUUGACAUUUGAUUAUCUGUUUGGGGUUAUAUGUGUGUAUGUGUGUGCUUUUUUAGUCUAUUAGUGAUUUGUGUUUAAUUGUUGUUUAUGUUUAUGAAUAUAGGUAUGAGUGAAUUUACAUUUAUUACUUUAAAGUUUUAUCAUGAUGGGGCCUUAUUGUUUGAAGGUGAGGAAGCAAGAUAUGUGGGUGGGUUAGUGAGUGGAUUUAAAAAUGUUGAUAUGGAUACAAUAUCAUAUUUUGAGAUUAAAGACUACAUUAAAGAACUAGGGUAUAACUCAAAUUGCAAAUUGAGUAUCAUGCCACCAAACAGUUGCAUUUUAGGAAAUAUUGAUGAUGAUGAUAUUCUAUUGGCAAUGUGUAAUUUUUUGCAAAGUGGGGCUACUUUGGAUGUAUGUAUAUGUGCACAUGCUUGAGGAGGAAUUUGGUGCAGUUUUUAAUAAAGUUGGGACCACUGAAAAUUGUGCUACUCAAAAUAUUGAAGAUAAUGAAGUAGGUGACGCUGCUUUAAAUGGGGUAGAUGUGUAUCUAAAUACUACCUCAAAUAUUCCUUCUAUAUCAGAUCCUACAGCUUCAAAUAAUGAUCUAUCAAAUUUUGCAGAUAGGGAUUACUCUGUAAAAGGAUCUGAUGAGUCAACUAAUGAUAAUGGGGGUUCUGAAAAUAGUGAACUACUUUGAGAUGACAAUUAUGAAAGUGAUGUUCAUGAAGAGUUAGUAAAGCUUAGGGCUGAGAAAAGAUCCUUUUUGAGGAGGAAAAGAAGAGAGAGAAAACCUGUAGACACUGAAGAAAUACCAUGUGGUAAUGCUGGACCAGAUUUUGAAUUUGAUGAGACUGUUAUUAGUAAAAAUACUUUAAAAGGAAGGCUAGAGGGUGAUGAACCAUAUUAUGCAAGUUUUGAUCCUUGUAGCUUUGAAACUGACACAGAUGAUAGUUGUCUUGAGGAAGGUGAAAAAUGAGGUUAAAGCUGCCUAAAACAAGAAGGAAAAAACAUACCACAGAUAAUGUUAGAUUUGAUCCCAACGGUAAGAUGAUAGUGUGGCAGUUGGGUAUGAUUUUUUAAAGUGUGAAAAAGAUUAGAUUGGCAGUCACUAAAUAUGCAAUUCAAAGAAGGGUGCAGAUUGAGAAGUAUGUGGAUGAGCCAACUAGAGUAAGAGUAAGAUAUUGCAAGAAAAACUGCAAAUGGUUAUUGUAUGCAAGUCUUGACAUGCAACUAAUAACUUUGUUAUCAGGACUUACAAACAAGUACAUCUAUGUCAGAGUAGCUCUAGAAAUUACUUGUGCGACUCUAAAUUCCUUACUAGUGUUUUUAAAGAUAGAGUAAUUGAACAAUCAAAUAAUAGAGUGUUCAAGUUGCAAGAGUUAAUCAGGAAGAAAUACAAAGUGCAUGUUGGUAAGACCACAACUAAAGGAGCAAGAGCUAAAAUUCUGAAUGAAAUUAUGGGUGAUCACAUUAAGGAGUUUGGGAGAAUUCUUGAUUAUAAGGAUGAACUGUUAAGGUCUAAUCCUGGAAGUACUUAAGUGGUGAAGCUUGGUGAAGUUAAUGAACUUGGCAUGCCAGUAUUUGAAGCAUUUUACAUAUGUUUUGAAGCACUCAAGAUGACAUUCAUGUCAUGUAGAAAAUGCCUUGGGUUGGAUGGUUGUUUCUUGAAGGGAGUAUCCCGGGGUCAAUUACUUAUUGCAGUGGCCAAGAAUGGCAAUAACCAAAUGCUUCCACGUGCUUGGACUAUAUAGAAAAUGAGAACAAAAAUAGCUGGAGUUGGUUUAUUUCUUUGUUACAUAAAGACUUGGUAUUAGGAGAUGGAACUAGUUUCACCAUCAUGUCAAAUAUGCAGAAGAUAAAUACUACUACAUUUUGUUGGUUCACUCCUUUUCUUUUUUUCAAAUAAAUUAUGUAAUAUUUGUUAUAACUUGUACGGACUGGGAUAUAGCUAUUAAGGAAUUGUUACCAGUUUGUGAAGAAAGAAAGUGUUUUAGGCAUAUCCUAGCAAAUUGGUCAAAGAGUUAGAGGGGCUACAAAGGAAGAAUCUAUUCUGGAAGUGUGCUAGGAAUACUUUUGAAGCUGAAUUCAAAGAAAAUUUGAAAGGGUUGUCUAAAUUAGGUAAGAAUAUAGUGGAUGGUCUACUUUACUAUAAUAAAGAAUAUUGGUGCAAAAUGUCUUUUAAUUGCGAAGUCAAGUGUGAUGCAGUAGAUAAUAUUAUGUGUAAGAAUUUUUAAUGCUUGGAUCUUGUCGGCAAUGCAUGAAACCAUUAUGAACAUGCCUGAAGAGAUAAGGGUUAAGGUCAUGAUUAGGUUAGCUAGGUUAAGUGAAUUUCCAAACUCUUAGGUAACCAACUUCUCUCCAAUGAAAAUGAAAGUAUUGGAGGCCAAUAUUGAUAAGUCAAUGAGGUGUAGCAUUGAGUUUGAUGGGGUAACAUGAUAUGAAGUUGUGGAUGGAUACAAACAACACACUGUGUGUUUGAGAAAGAGGGAGUGUAGUUGUAGAUCUUGGAUGUUGAAGGGAAUACCAUGUGCACAUGUCUUAACUGUAAUGUUGCGUAAGCAAUAUGAUCCACAUGAUUUCGUUCAUCCAUGUUACUUUAAAGAGAGGUACCUGAUCACUUACUCAUAUUUCAUGCAACCUAUGAAUAACAUGCCAAUGUGGCCAGAAUCAACAAAUCUUGUCGUUGCUCCACCAAUGAUCAAAAAGUUGCCAGGAAGGCCUAGAAAGUUGAGAAGGAAAGAGGCUAGAGAAACUAGGGUGUCUGAUAAAAUGCCAAAAACUUAUGUAACUAUGACAUGUAGUCUUUGUCAUGUUAAAGGUCGCAACAAAAGAAGAUGUCAUUUGCUAAGGACUGAUGGAGUUGGUUCUACUGCUAGGGAAUAGAGUGCUACGACUAAUUCAACUAUUGCAAAACCAUUAAGGUCAAGAAAGGAAAGGGGAAGACCAAAGAAACCAACAAGUACUAAAAGUGAGCCAAUUGCAAAAAGGAGGAGAGGCGGACCUAGAACUACUGAACCAAGAUCACCAAGGCAAGGUGCAAGUGCAAGCGCAAAAGUAAGUGUAUCAAGUGGUGCACUUAAAACCGCUACACCUCAUUCUAACAAAAGACCAAGUGAAUCAAGAUCACCAAGGCAGGGUUUAGGUGCAAGUGCAAGUAUAUCAAAGGGUGCACCUACAACUACUGCACCUCAUCUUAACAAAGACCAACUACAUCAACAUCACCAAGAACUAGAAGAGAUAGAGGAAGGGGUAGGGGAAUGAGAAGUAAAUCAAGAGGAGUUAAUCAUCCACUUGAAAGUUGGUUUACAUGUUUUGAAGAUAGUACAACACAUGAUGUAGGCCAGAAUUCAAAUGCUGCAAAUGUUGCACCAAAGGAUGCUCGAAACACAACCCAAAUUAAAAGGCCAUGAGUAACUGAAAUGGGUGUGUUUCAAGCUGAAAAUGGGUUCAAAACUUUCAAUGGAAGUAUUAUGAUGCAUUCAUAAUGCUUGUUCACUAAUAAUAACUUCAACUUAUACAAUUAAUUUUUCUGUAGCCUAGACUGUCAAAUAGCAGAAUUUUAUCGAUUAGACCAAAAAGAGUGUUGAGAUCAUCAGUUAUAACUAGAGAUAUUGGUUUCAAAUCAAUAAGUGGAUUGAAGUGGAAAGGAAAUCAAGUAAUCACAAAAGGUAGGCUCCAGGAGAUUAGAGAUCAAUCCAAGCCUUCAAACUUGAAUACUUCCUCCUCUUCACAGCCCCGAGACCCUUGGAAACUAUGAUGCUGAUAUCAAUGGAGUUUGUUCAGAACUAUUUUGGUGCCACUAAAUUACUUUUUUUUUGUUUGAAGGAAAAACAACUAAGAUACUAUUUUGUUUCUUGUUUGAAGGAAAAAUAACUAUUCCUUGUUUUUUGUUAUAUGUAUGAAAUAGUACUGAAAUUCUGAUAUUGAAUGCAAUGUUGAAGCUUUGUCUUGCUCUUGA